GUGAGGAAUAUUGGUCAAUGGGCGAGAGCCUGAACCAGCCAAAUCGCGUGAAGGAUGAAGGUAUUAUGUAUUGUAAACUUCUUUUAUCGGGGAAUAAAGUGCACCACGUGUGGUGUUUUGUAUGUACCCGAAGAAUAAGGAUCGGCUAACUCCGUGCCAGCAGCCGCGGUAAUACGGAGGAUCCAAGCGUUAUCCGGAUUUAUUGGGUUUAAAGGGUGCGUAGGCGGACUGUCAAGUCAGCGGUGAAAGUUCAUGGAUCAACCAUGGAAUUGCCGUUGAAACUGUCGGUCUUGAGUGUAGAUGAGGUAGGCGGAAUUCGUAGUGUAGCGGUGAAAUGCUUAGAUAUUACGAAGAACUCCAAUUGCGUAGGCAGCUUACCAGGCUACAACUGACGCUGAGGCACGAAGGUGCGGGGAUCAAACAGGAUUAGAUACCCUAGUAGUCC
RNAcentral lists this ribosomal RNA (445 nucleotides) under uncultured bacterium. RNAcentral's name for it is "partial 16S ribosomal RNA". It matches the Rfam family "Bacterial small subunit ribosomal RNA", at positions 354 to 796 of the family's 1533-position model. The record is from RNAcentral.